RNAcentral lists this ribosomal RNA (258 nucleotides) under uncultured bacterium. RNAcentral's name for it is "partial 16S ribosomal RNA". It matches the Rfam family "Bacterial small subunit ribosomal RNA", at positions 524 to 776 of the family's 1533-position model. The record is from RNAcentral.
UACGAAGGGGGGCUAGCGUUGCUCGGAAUGACUGGGCGUAAAGGGCGCGUAGGCGGCGAUCAAGGUCAGAUGUGAAAUUCCUGGGCUUAACCUGGGGGGCUGCAUUUGAUACGUGGUGGCUUGAGUGCGGAAGAGGGUCGUGGAAUUCCCAGUGUAGAGGUGAAAAUUCGUAGAUAUUGGGAAGAACACCGGUGGCGAAGGCGGCGACCUGGUCCGUGACUGACGCUGAGGCGCGAAAAGCGUGGGGGAGCAAACAGG